RNAcentral lists this ribosomal RNA (395 nucleotides) under uncultured bacterium. RNAcentral's name for it is "bacterial SSU rRNA". It matches the Rfam family "Bacterial small subunit ribosomal RNA", at positions 28 to 428 of the family's 1533-position model. The record is from RNAcentral.
GACGAACGCUGGCGGCGUGCUUAACACAUGCAAGUCGAACGGUAAGGCCCUUCGGGUACGACGAGUGGCGAACGGGUGGAGUAACACGUGGGUGAUCUGCCCUGCACUUCGGGAUAAGCCUGGGAAACUGGGUCUAAUACCGGAUAGGACCAUGGACUUCACGGUUUGUGGUGGAAAGCUUUUGCGGUGUGGGAUGGGCCCGCGGCCUAUCAGCUUGUUGGUGGGGUAAUGGCCUACCAAGGCGACGACGGGUAGCCGGCCUGAGAGGGUGUCCGGCCACACUGGGACUGAGAUACGGCCCAGACUCCUACGGGAGGCAGCAGUGGGGAAUAUUGCACAAUGGGCGCAAGCCUGAUGCAGCGACGCCGCGUGAGGGAUGACGGCCUCGGUUGUAA